Molecule: ribosomal RNA, 301 nt
Filed under: uncultured bacterium
Lineage: Bacteria
Description: partial 16S ribosomal RNA
Rfam family: Bacterial small subunit ribosomal RNA
Source: RNAcentral
CAGUAGCCACGGGAACACGAAGGGUGCAAGCGUUACUCGGAAUUACUGGGCGUAAAGCGUGUGUAGGUGGUUGUUUAAGUCUGUCGUGAAAGCCCUGGGCUCAACCUGGGAAUUGCAGUGGAUACUGGGUCACUAGAGUGUGGUAGAGGAUAGUGGAAUUUCCGGUGUAGCAGUGAAAUGCGUAGAGAUCGGAAGGAACAUCUGUGGCGAAGGCGACUAUCUGGGCCAACACUGACACUGAGGCACGAAAGCGUGGGGAGCAAACAGGAUUAGAUACCCCCGUAGUCACUGUCUCUUAUAC